RNAcentral lists this ribosomal RNA (917 nucleotides) under uncultured bacterium. Its description in RNAcentral is "bacterial SSU rRNA". It matches the Rfam family "Bacterial small subunit ribosomal RNA", at positions 36 to 957 of the family's 1533-position model. The record is from RNAcentral.
UUGGCGGCGUGGUUAAGACAUGCAAGUCGAACGGGAUUUUUUGUGUAGUAAUACAUAAAAAAUCUAGUGGCGAACGGGUGCGUAACACGUGAGCAAUCUGCCGGGAAGUGGGGGAUAGCUCGCCGAAAGGCGAAUUAAUACCGCAUGUGGCCAGAGGGGACAUCCCUUCGACGCCAAAGUCGCAAGACGCUUCCUGAUGAGCCCGCGGCCUAUCAGCUUGUUGGUGAGGUAAUGGCUCACCAAGGCUUUGACGGGUAGCUGGUCUGAGAGGACGACCAGCCACACUGGAACUGAGACACGGUCCAGACACCUACGGGUGGCAGCAGUCGAGAAUUUUUCACAAUGGGGGAAACCCUGAUGGAGCGACGCCGCGUGGAGGAUGAAGGUCUUCGGAUUGUAAACUCCUGUCAUGCGAGAACAAGAAAGUGAUAGUAUCGCAAGAGGAAGAGACGGCUAACUCUGUGCCAGCAGCCGCGGUAAUACAGAGGUCUCAAGCGUUGUUCGGAUUCAUUGGGCGUAAAGGGUGCGUAGGUGGCGUGGAAAGUUGAGUGUGAAAUCCUAGGGCUUAACCUUAGAACUGCACUCAAUACUCCCAUGCUAGAGGAAUGUAGAGGAGAGUGGAAUUCACGGUGUAGCAGUGAAAUGCGUAGAUAUCGUGAGGAAGACCAGUUGCGAAGGCGACUCUCUGGGCAUUUCCUGACACUGAGGCACGAANGCCAGGGGAGCAAACGGGAUUAGAUACCCCGGUAGUCCUGGCAGUAAACGGUGCACAUUUGGGUGUGGGCGGGUUCAGACCCCGUCCGUGCCGGANCUAACGCGUUAAAUGUGCCGCCNGGGAAGUACGGUCNCAAGAUUAAAACUCAAAGAAAUUGACGANGGCCCGCACAANCGGUGGANUAUGUGGCUUAAUUCNAUGC